RNAcentral lists this transfer RNA (85 nucleotides) under Candidatus Azoamicus ciliaticola. It matches the Rfam family "tRNA". From Rfam's summary of the family: Transfer RNA (tRNA) molecules are approximately 80 nucleotides in length. Their secondary structure includes four short double-helical elements and three loops (D, anti-codon, and T loops). The record is from Rfam by way of RNAcentral. Lineage: Bacteria; Pseudomonadati; Pseudomonadota; Gammaproteobacteria; Candidatus Azoamicaceae.
GGAGAGAUGACCGAGUGGCUUAAGGAACACGUCUGGAAAGCGUGUGUACUUUUUAGUACCGAGGGUUCGAAUCCCUCUCUCUCCG